Molecule: long non-coding RNA, 11811 nt
Organism: Marmota monax (woodchuck)
Lineage: Eukaryota; Metazoa; Chordata; Mammalia; Rodentia; Sciuridae
Exons: 3
Source: RefSeq, a predicted model, not a curated record
GGAGGAGGCCCGGCCCCGCGGCCGCCGCCGCCCGGACCGCCGGGACCGCCAGGACCGCUGCAGGGCGCCGGCCCUAGACGGUGGUCCGCGCCCCGGAUUCUCCUCGGCUCGGCCGCGCGUAUAUUUCCCUUCCUCCAUGAUCUCCAGCACUGAUAAAGUAGAAGAAACUGAGGUACCAGGAAAGAGAAAAGUAACUGGGACUGAGAGAUAAGGUCUCCCUGAGUUGCUUCGGGCUCACUAAUUUGCUAAGGCCGGCUUUGAACUUGUGAUCCUCCUGCCUCAGCCUCCCAAGGUGAAGAUUACAAGCCUGCAUCACAAUACCAACCCAGCUGAUGAACUUUUCUUUAACUUAAAUAAAUUUUUUAAAAGUAAAUUUUAGGGCUGGGGCUGUAGCUCACUGGUAAAGCACUUGCCAGGCAUGUGUGAGGCACUGGGUUUGAUCCUCAGCACCACAUAAAAAUAAAUAAAUAUUAUGUAUCUAUCUACAAUUAAAAAAAAAAGUAAAUUUUAUAUUAAUGGAAAUAAUAUCCAUAAAUCUUUGAUUAGAUUUGGUAAUUAUAGCUUCCUGAUUUAUUUUAAAUUACAACUAAUUAUUAAAAUAAAAUCAAUAAAAAUUAAAGUGGGGCUGGGGUUGUAGCUCUGUGGUAAAGCACUUGCCUUACAUGUGUGAGGCACUGGGUUUGAUUCUCAGCACCACAUAUAAAUAAAUAAAAUAAAGGUCCAUGGACAACUAAAAAAAAAAAUUAAAGUGUCUUCCAUGCUACUAAUGGUACCCAUACCACAUUUUUAGGUUCAGAAACUGGAGCUUAGAUAUUGAUAGGAUUGCCUAAGAUCAAUUAUUAUUAGUUAAGGACAGAACCAGGACUUGAAUCUAUCAAUUGCUAUUCUAGUGUACUUUGUAUUAUAUACUAUAUGACUUCUGAGUCAAUAGGAUGUCCUAUGGUUUUAAAGGAAACCAAAAUUGAAGGUCACAUUGUAUUACUAUUAUUAACUUAUAACAGUUAUACCACAGAAUUGGCAAAGGUCAAUUUAAUUGUAUUUAUUAUACUUUUUUUUUUUUUCAGUAGUGGGAUUGAAUACAGGAGUACUCUACCACUAAGCUACACCCACAAAUCUUUUAAAAUUUUUUUCAUUUUGAGGCAGGGUCUGACUAAGGUGCUGAGGUUGUCCACAAAUUUGGGAUCCUCCUGCCUUAGACUCCCACAGAGCUGGGAUUAGAGGUAUGCACCACCAUGUACAGUUUAUACUUACAAACUUUUUUUUGACACAGGAUUCCACAACUACUACUACUACUACUACUACUACUAUUACUACUACUACUUCUUCUUCGUCGUCUUUUUUUUUUUUUGGUAGUUGUAGAUGGAUAGCCCUUUAUUUAUUUUUAUGUGGUGCUGAGGAUCAAACUCAAUGCCUCACGCAUGCCAGGCAAGCGCUCUGCCACUGAGCUCCAGCUCCAGCCCACAAUUCGACUUCUUACCAUCUAUUCUCUUCUCUUUUUGAGGUUCUGGGGAUUGCACCCAGGACCUAGCACAUGCAAGGUAAAUGUUCUGCCACUGAGCUAUAUCCCUAGCUCUUUUAGAAUUUUGAGACAGAGUCUCACAAAGUUGCCCAGGGUGGGCCUCCUGCCUCAGCUUCCCAAGUUGCUGGGAUUAUAGGUAUAUGCUACCACAUCCUCCUUAGCACCUACUUUUGGGAAAUAGUAGAUGUUUCUCAUCACACUUGUACAUAAAAUGACAUGUGCAAAGAUGUUCAUUAUAACAGUGUGUAGCAAAAACUUCUGAACACCCUAAAAUCUCCAAUAGUAAGGAAUAGCUAAGCAAACUACACAACAAUCAUGAAAAGUGAGUUACAUCUGUAUAUAUAAAUAGGGUCAGAUUCUUCAAUAUACAGUUGCAUGGAAAAAAACAGGCUACAAAACAGUAUUUACAUUAUGAUACUUGUUAAUUUAUUUGUGUUUUAAAAAAAUUAAAAACAAUUUUAAAUAUUUCUAGAGAUAUAUUUUUAUUUAUAAAAUUGCCUUUUAAAAUUCUGAAGGUACACAUAUCAAAGAUUUUUAAUUUGUUAAUUCUGAAUUUUUACAAUGAGAAAGUUUAAUUUGUGUAAACACAUUUAAUUGAUCACAUUAGCAAAUGGAGCUAAAUGAGAUAAAAAGUAGUCUGAUUUCUCUAAAGAAAUCACUCCUUAUUAAUCUCUGGUCCUUUGAAGAGAAAAACAUGUAAGCAAAGUAUAAUCAGUGGAUAUACUGAUAUGCUUUUGAAAACAUUAGAGAAGUUCCACUUUAAAGACUAAUUAAAGUAUGAGGAGGAAAAGGAAAGAUAUAGAAAAAUAUAUAUAUAUUUAUAAACAUGAUGCCAUUUGUGAAAGAAAAAAUAUGUGAAUAUCCACAGGGUGUACUUAGAAGAAUAUACAAGAAACUAUAGUAGUUGCUAUUGGGAAGGUAAAUUUAUUUUUUUAUCUUUUCAAGCAACUUGAAAAUGUUGUCAAGCAACUUUUUAAGUGACCAAGAGAUUGGCUAGGUAGAGGGAGGAGAUCAGACAUAAACACAAAAAAAGCUAAAUAUGAAUAUGUGAUUUUGAUUAUUGCUAUGGGCUGUAAAAUCUAAGUGUUUGGAGAAGAAAUCUUGCAUGGGGGUGGUGGGGUGGAGAGUAGAGGGAGUCAGUGAAGAACUUUCAUAUGUAAUUGUGUUUGUGUUUGAAAUUGGCCCCAAAAGAUAACUAGGAUCUAUAUAGCAGACAGGAAAAGCAAGGGCAGUCUAGGUUGAAUAAGAAAGCAUUUAGCAGGUGGCAUUGGAAGUCAUCUGACUGGAGUGGUAAUUUCAUAAUAGAAAAUUAUAGUAGAGUAAGAAUGUUGGAAUAUAAAGUGAAGAGUAGAGGCCAGAACCUUGGGGGAACUUUGAAAGACGGAGGCAAGGAGGAGAAGAGAAACAAACCAAAGAAAAACAAAUUGAGAUGUACCAGAUAUUGUUACUAUGGAAGAAUAGAAACACAGCUUCCAAAAGAAAGACAGGAUACUUGCUGCCAGAUGCUACGUGGAAGUCAAGAACAAUACAAACUGACUGUUCCUCAAAAAUUUAAAUAUUGGCCAAGUAUAGUGACACAUGCCUAUAAUCCCAGCUACUUGGGAGACUGAGGCAGGAAAAUCUUAAGUUCCAGGACUCAGUGGCCCAGCAACUUAGUGAGAUACUAUCUCAAAAUAAAAAAAUAAAAAAGACUGGGGUUGUAGCUCAAUGGUAAAGCACCUCUGGAUUCAAUCCCAAGUACCACAGGGAGAAAAACAAAGUUACCAAAUAUAGUCUGGCACAGUGGUACACACCUGUAAUCCUAGCAACUGGAGCGGCUCAGGCAUGAGGAUCCCAAAUUUGCAUCAGCAUGGGCAAUUUAGCGAAACCCUGACUCAAAAUUUAAAAACAAAAAGGGGUUGGGGUUUUUUUUUAGCUCAGUGGUAGAGCACUUACCUAGCAUGCACAAGGCCCUGACUUCAAUCCCCAAUACUGGCUGGCUGGAUAAAUAAAUAAUCCAAAUACAUAUAUAUAUAUAAAAAAUAUAUCACACACACACACACAUACAUACAUACAUAUAUACACACACACCAGAAGAAGGAAGAGAGUAUGAAUAGGAGACAGUGGUCACGAAGUUUGGUAGUCCCAAAUAGAUAUUUUAAAGUAAUAUAUAAAAUAGACCUGGAAUCAUCACAUCACAUACCUGAGUGAAUCUAAUUCUUUAUCUCCAGGGUUAUUUCCACAUUCCCCCAUCUUGUAUAAAAAGCUUAUAUUCCUUGAAGGCUCCUGCAGUCUAGCUGUAUAUUCCUUAAUCUCUCUCCUACACUGUCAACCACUUAACCUCCUGACCAUUCCUCUCAUUCACGGAAGAUACUGGCUUAGUUCUGCCAUCAUCAUGGGUCACCUUAGGAUCCAUAUGAAAGAUCCUUUUAUCACCCUCUCAGUUCCUCGAAACCCUGAUUUCCAGAGACCUUAUUCUCCAUCCUACUUUUGCAUCCCCAGCCUUUGUACCUACCUCUUUUGUAAUAUUAAAUUCAAGCCUCCGUUUUGGCUACAACUUUGUAUUUUUCUAGCUCUCUCGUUUACUUAUAUCUUACUAUUCCUGGACCCCCAUGAGACAUUCUAUCUACCUAACUCUUAAUUUUCUCCUAAUUAUUUCUCCUCCAUUCUGUCUUCACCUCCUUUCCUGACCAGUUUAUUUUUUAAAGUAUUUAUUUUUUUGUUGUAGUUGGACACAAUACCUUUAUUUUACUUAUUUAUUUUUAUAUGGUACUGAGGAUCGAACCCAGGGCCUCACAACGUGCUAGGCAAGCGCUCUUGUCCAGUUUAAAUUCCAUGGUCUUUCAUUUCAACAACUCUCCUGCCAGUGCUGGUGCCCAUUUCUCAUUUUCUUUCUUGGAAACCCCUUGCCUUGGUGCACUUCAAAGUGCUGUGGAAGAAAAUACCAUAACCAUUCUGACUAGUAUCCCUGCUCAGAAAACCUUAUUCCAAAUCAUUUUCCUUUUUGAGUCAGUUCUCCACAGUGACUUAUUCAAAUUCCUCAGGCUUCUUCCUUAUACUCAUUUGAUCUUAGUCAAAAGGCUAUGUUUUAGUCAGCUUUUUUUCACUGCUGUGACCAAAAGACUUGAAGAAAAGUUUAUUUAGGGGGCUCACAGUUUCAGAGUCUCACUCCAUGAUAGCCAACUCCAUUGCUCUGGGCCCAAGAUGACUUAGAACAUCAAGGUAGAAGAUUGUAACAGAGGAAAGCAUAUCUGAACAAGACCCCCAAGAAGCACAGAGAGAGUUCCACUCUCCAGGGGCAAAUAUAUAUUCAAAGGCACCCUCCCAAAGACCCAUCUCCUCCACCCUGCCUAUAGUUACCACCCAAUUAAUCCCUAUCAGGGGAUCAAUAUACUGAUUAGAUAAUGUUCUCAUAACCCAAUAAUUUCAACUCUGAACUUUCUUGCAUUGUUUCACACAUGAGCUUUUGGGGGAUACCUAAUAUCUAAACUAUAACAGGCUGAGAAAUGAUCUCUUCCUUACACUCAAAUUAGGAAGUCUUAUCUACUUCCAGGAAAUAGGAGGAAAGAAUGAGAGCAAGAGCACAAGUGAAGGGAUUAACUUCAGACAGGUCAGAAGGGAAGAAGGAAAGGACAAACAUGCAUAUUGUUAAAUAUGUAGGUUUAACAUCAGUAUUUUGAAGGAGUUCUCUUCUGAUUAAACAGCUAUAUUAAAAACAAAAAUUUAAAAGAACUAGAAUGUGACAUAAGAAAAUAUUUUCCUGGAGGUAAAAAUGUCUUAAACUUGGGGCUGGAGUUGUAGCUCUGGAGUAGAGUGCUUGCCUUGUAUGUGUGAGGCACGAGUUCGAUUCCCAGCACCACAUCUAAAUAAGCAAAUAAAAUAAAGGUCCAUCAACAACGAAAAAAAAAAAAAAUUUAAGUCUUAAGCUACAUGAGUAACAGCCAUAAAGUAAAAUACUUACAGAUUUACUCAAUAAAAUUAGCUGGGUGUGGUGAUACAUACCUGUAAUAUCAGCGGCUAGGGAGGCUGAGGCAGGAGGAUCAUGAGUUCAAAGCCAGCCUCAGCAAUGGUGAGGUGCUAAGCAACUCAAUGAGAUCCUGUCUCUAAAUAGAAUAUAAAAUAGGGCUGUGGAUGUGGCUUAGUGGUUGAGUGCCCCUAGUUCAAUCCCCAGUACAAAUAAAUAAAUAAAUAAUUUUACUCUAUACAAAACAUCACAAACAAGGUUAAAAGAAAAACCAGGAAAAUAUUUAUACUAUUUAUGACAAACUGCUCAUUCAGUAAAUAGUGUGUGCUUUAGAGAACUUGGAGGUAACAGAAGCAAUUUUAGUUCCUUUAAGCAAAAAGGGAUUUUAUGCAGGAAGUUAACUUACAAAAUUGUUGGAUAGGCCAGAGAAGCACUGUAGUCUGGGCUUCCAGAGUGAACAGAACAUUGCAAAACUGACCCACCAGAAAUCUACUUCCUGUCUGUGCCACCACACUAGCUUUAGUGUUUGUUUUCUUGUUGAAAUAAAGACAUCAGAUAAAUCAAAAUAUAAAGUAAAUAAUUUAUGUGUAAAAAAUGGAUGAUGAUUGCUAUUUGGGGGAUAGGUACUGGGGAUUGAACCCAGGGGCACUCAACCACGGAGCCACAUCCCCAGCCCUUUUUUGUAUUUUAAUUAGAAACAGGGGCUCCCUGAGUUGCUUAGGGCCUUGCUAAAUUGCUGAGGCUGCCUUUGAACUUGUGAUCCUCCUGCCUCGGCCUCCUGAGCUGAUGGGAUUAUAGGCAUGUGCCACCACACCCAGGUAUGAUUGCUGAUUUUUAUGAAGUUUUACUUUGUAAGUGAAAUACCCUAAGUAAGUACUUAAUAUGUACUAACUCACUUAUUCCUUCCAAUAACCUUAUAAAAUAGAAAUUAUCAAUCUCCAUUUUGCAGAUGAGGAAGCAGAGGUAAAAGAAGAUUAAAUAAACUGGAUUCAGUGGUACACAUCUGUAAUCCCAGCUACUCAGGAUGUGAAGGCAGGAUUAUCACAAAUUCUAGACCAGUUUGGGCAAUUUAGAGAGACUCUGUCUCAAAACUAAAGAGGGCUGGGGAUGUAGCUCAUUGUAAAGUGGUAAAGUGCCCCUGGGUUUAAUUUCCAGUGGCCUCUUCCCCAUCCUCAGAAAAAAAAAGGAGAUUAAACAUCUUAUCUAAGACCAGAGCUACUAAGAGGUAAAACAGGCAUUUAUAUACCCAAAUUCAUGGACCAGAGUAAACCUGAAGAAAAGGUGAAAAUGCAGAUGAUAUGAUAACUCAAGGAUUGAAAUGCUAUUGUUAAAAUCACAGGAAUUGAGAUAGAAGUUGGCUUUAAGGGGGUAUAAUGUAUUUGUUUCUCGAAGUCCUUAGCUUGAUAUGUGAUGGGUUUUUUGUUUGUUUGUUUUUGAUAGCAGGGAUUAAACCCAGGAUGCUCUACCACUGAGCUACACACCCAACCUUUUUUUAUUUUUUAUUCUGAGAUGGGGUCUGUCUAAGUUCUGGUUCUCCUGCUGUAGCCUCACAAGUCACUGUAAUUAUAAGCAUGCUGCUUAACAUUGCCUUUUAACAACUUCUUGAUGUAGGUUGAGUUCACAUCCCUAAUCCAAAAUCUGAAAUGCUUCAAGAUCCAAGAGCACCAACAUAGUGUCCACAGUGAAAGGUUCCUCUUAUGACGGGUCACAGUCAAAAUGCAGGCACAUUAAAAAUAUUUUAUCAAAUUACCUUCUGGCUAUGUGUAUAAUGUAUAUAUGAAACAUAAAUGAAUUUCAUGUUUAGAAUUGGAUCCCAUACCCACAAUGUUUCACUAGUAUAUUCAAGUAUUCCAAAACCUGAAAAAAUUCAAUAUCUCAAAUGUUUGUUUCAAGCAUUUGGGAUAAGGAUAGCCUAGGUUUCCCAAUAGCUGGCCAGUUUGAAAUGUCUUGCUCUUUCCAUCUAUUGUCAAGCCAUAGUAGUCCCAGUAAUAUUGCCCUGACACUUUUCCCACUGAUUACUCUUCAGAUUAUAGAUGUGUUAUAGUGCUAACCUCAGCUGUCAUCCUCUUGCCCCUCCAUUUGCUCUUGGCCCUUUGCUACUAUCUAACUUUCUGUGUAAGGAAUUAUAUUAAUUUCAGACUAAAUUUGAUAUAAUUCCCAAGUUAAAACCAACUAAUUUUUUUUAAAAGAUUCUAUGUCCCCAAACUAUUUAACUUCUGAAAUAUGUUCCAGAGCCAAUAAUGAAGCUACCUAAUCUGUCCAUAAGAGGAAGAGUUGGAGCUAUACAGUCAGAGAGAUAACCAAGCUCUAUACUUACUAACUUUCACCCUGGGAAAGUUGUUUAUCCCUUAGGUGUCAGUAUCCUCAUCUGUAAACCAGCCAUCCUCACAAGGUUGUAGCAAGAAUUAAAUGAGCUAACUUACAUAAGGCACUAGGUAUAAUAAGGCACUCGAUAAUUGGUAGCUAUUAUUCUAAACAAUCAAAUUUACCAUUUAGCCAUUUCUCACUUCAGAAUGAUUCACUUAAGAUAACUGCAAAUUGAGAGGACUCACAACCUGGAUUAUAUAGCACCUUAAACUGAAGGAGCAAAGAGGCUGACUUUAGUUACUCUUGUUUCUUAUAGUUAGCCCUGUUUCCUUGCUUUCCCUCACUUGGUAUGACAUAAAACUGCAUUUUACUUGACUCAAAUUUUCUCACAGAAAUUCUAACUGAAAUCUUAGUCACAAAUAUGGUCUACUAAUUUUUUGAUUAUGACAGAUGGACCUGAAUGCUGAAUGUUACCAAAUCUCAGGAAUUUCCAAGGGAAGUAUUUGUUACUAAAUAGUGAUUAACACAAGGAAUGGGAAAGAAAACUAAAACUGGUUAGUGGUAGUGUCUUUUCCAAGGAUGUUUAUAGUGCUAGGAAUUUUACCAUACUUUAUCUCAUUUAAUCUUUUCAACAACAUUAUAAGAAACUUUCAUUUAGGGUGAACAUGUCCAGGGUUAUGUCUAUUGUCCUUACUGUUACCUUCUAUCAUCCCUAUUUUAUGAUUGAAGAAAUGGAAUCUAAUGAAAGGUUGGUAUUCUGUACAUGUUACAAAACUCUCUUCUGCAGUUGGGUUUUUAGAUUCUCAUAUCCCAUGUGUAUAGCCUAACAAAACCACCAAUGAUCUGCUAUUUGCUAAAUCCAGAUACUCCCGUCAUCAUAUUACUAUUUAGCCUCUGUGCAGUAUUUCACACUUUCCGUCCUCUCAAGUAUUCUCCCUUUAAUUUGCAUGGCAUCCUUUUCCAGUUUCCCUGUCACUCUCCAGCUCUUCCCUGUGAGUCCCCUUUUCCUCCUCCCCUCCCUUAGAUAUUGUUUCUCCUAGGUCCUCUGCUUAGAUCAGAAUUCACUUUUUUUUUUCCCCCGUAACAAGAUAUUGAACCCAGGAUCACUUAACCACUGGGCCACAACCCCAGCCCUUUUGUUUUUGAUAUAGGAUCUUGCUUAGUACUUAGGCCCUUGCUAAGUUGCUGAGACUGAUCUUAAACUUUCGAUCCUCCUGCCUCAGCCUCCUGAAUCACUAGAAUUACAGGCGUGCACUAUGGCACCUGACCCAGACUGCAUUCUUGAGAUGAUCUCGUCCUGUCUUUGGCUAUUAUAACUAUCUGCUAACAAUUCCCAUACCUGUAACUCUGACCCAGAGCUUUCCAGUCCCAGGGUUUGGACAUGUGUACUUUCAUGUCCCAGAAUAUAAGGAUAUAGCCAGCUAAAAUUUCAUUUUUUCAUCUUCCAGCAUUCUCCUUUUCUAUCACUGGACUCACCAUCCUCUCAGCUGCCCAUACACCUGGUGUCAUUCUUGGGUCUUCCCUCUCUCUCAGACUUCUACCCAAUAAAUUACCCAGUAACUUUCGUCCAUCUUCUCUGACCACUACCACUAACCUAGUUCCAGUUGCCUUCAUUUGUCCCCAGACUACUGAAAGGGCAUCAGGCCACCCUGUCUCUACUUUUUCCUCUCCAUUCCAUCCCUUCUUGGCAAUGUAGUUAAGUCACUUUUUUUUUUUUUUUUUUUUUUUGGCGGGGGGAGGUGGUACUGGCAGUUCAACUCAUGGGCACUGAUCCACUGAGCUAAAACCCAAACCCUUUUUAAAUUUUAUUUAUUUAUUUAUUUUCGAGACAGGAUCUCACUAAAUUGCUAAGGCUGGCUUCAAACCUGUGAUCCUCCUGCCUCUGCCUCCUGAGCUACUAGAAUUCCAGGUGUAUGCCACCAUGCCUGGCUUCAAGCCACCUUUUUAAAAGGCAAAUCUGAUUAUGUCCUCCCUACAAAAUCCUUAAGCCUGAUUGAAUAUUUUUAAGUAUUUAUUUAUGUAUUUAUUUUGUGGUGCUGGAAAUGGAACUCAAGUUCUCAUGCAAGCUAGGGAAGUACUUCAGUUGUAUCCUUUAAAAGGAUGAAUUUUAUGGUUUGUGAAUUAUGUAUCAAUUUUAAAAAAAAAUGACCUGGUUUGGCUUUUAUAUUCCUCAUUACCCCCACAACUGGCCACAUCCCCCUCCUCUCAGCUUUACCAUUCUGCAUUUUUCUUCUUUUGAGCUUACAUUAUCACCUCUAAUGUUUCCACAUGCUAUUUAUUCUCUGCAGGAAGCACUCUCUCCCCACCUCUCUCCCUUACCCUCCUCUUCAUUAUUUGGCUAACUCCAUGCCCUUUAGCUCUCAGCUUGAGAAACCUCCCCAGAAAGCCUUCCCUUAUCCCCCUGAAGGGAUUAGGUGCUCCUGCUAUGUACCCUGAGGCAUUUCAUACUUGGCUCUUCUAUAGUAUUUAUUACAUAUUUGCUCAUUCUAUGGAGAGCUACUGAAUAGCUGCUCUGGGAUGGGCAGUGGGCCAGGUGCUAGGUUUUGGUGGCAAGUAAGAGCCGUCCUCAUGGAGCUUACAGUCUAACAAGGGAGGAAGAUGGACAUUAAACAAUUAUACUAAAUGUUUUAAUUAUAGUUAAGAUGUUUCAGAACACUCUUGAGAGGGUAUGACAAGAAAUGUGACACUAUUUGAGGGAUCAAGGAACACUCUCUAGGAAAGUGACAUUUGAUUAAGCAACUUUAAUAGGAGUUGGCCAAAGGAAGAGUGGAAGGUGGAGUGCUCCAUGCAGAGGAAGAGCAUGUGAGAAUGCUCUGACAUGAAAGAGCUUAGGGGAAUUUCAGAAAUGGAAAGGCCAAUAUAGGAGACCAAAAAGAGCCUAGAAAGCCAAAUCAUGCCAGUCCAUGUGGAACAUGGUAAGAGUUUCUAUUUAAGAGAAGUACGAAGCCUUAUAAGGGAAGUUUAAAAUUCCCCUUGACUACUGUGUAAAAGUGGAAACAGGGUAACAAGACGCUCCCCAGUGUCUCAAUCUCCCACCAAUCUGUAAGCUCUGUGAGGGCAGAAAUUGUGUCUUACUAAGUUCAGCACCAUGCCUAACAAAUCAGAGAGUUAUUUUAAUGAAUAAAUGAAUGAUUAGGGCCAACAUUCCAGCUUAGGUUUUCAAGAAAGACCAUGCUCAUUUCUCAAAAUCCCAUUUCCCCUAUACAUAACCCUGCAAAGACCAACUCUUUAUCCCAACUCUAGGCUGGGUUAGCAUGUACCUCCUUUUGUUUCCAGUGUAUCUGUGAUAGAUUGUAUUUUCCCAAACUGGCCAAAAUAUCUCACAGCCCAUCUUCCAGUGUAAUGUUGAUACUCCCUACUGAGAAGUGAAGUCUUAUUCCCUCUCCUUGAAUCUGAAGUUAGGUCAUAUAAUUCAUCUUCCUCCUGAUUCUCUUAGGUAGCUCACUCUUAGAACCAUGCAGUGAGGAAACCCAGACUUCCCUGUAGAGACCCACAUGGAAACAGAUAGGUUGGCUAUCUUGAAAGUGCAUCUUCUAGUUCCUAGUGAUAUACCCCAGUUUACAAUUUUUGGAGUAGAAAAGCUGACCCUACCAAACCCUGCCUAGUUUCAUUAGUAAAAUAAGUAAUGGUGGUUGUAACCUUAAGCCACACAGUUUGGGGACAGUUGCCUAAACAGCAAUAGGUAACUGAAACAGCAUCCUACAUUCAACACACAGUGAUGUGAUACAACUCAGUGGUUAGGUAAAUGGGCUACAACUGCCUUUGUUCAAAGCCUACUUCUAUUACUUUGUUGCAUGACUAUUGGCGAGUUGCUCAACAUUUCUGUGCUUUCAUAUUCUUUUGUCAAUAUAGUACUUAAGUUUGUUGAGAGAAGUGAUUUAGUACAGGUAAAUGUAUUAAUGAAUAUGUAUAUGAAUACAUAUAUAUGUGUAUGUAUAAAUGUAUGUAUGUAUAAUUUUUAAUACUAAAAUGAUCUUAUCUGCUUUAUUGUUCAUCUCACCAGAGUAUAAGCCCCAAUAAAGUAGGAACCUUGUUUGUCUGA